Molecule: long non-coding RNA, 777 nt
Organism: Homo sapiens (human)
Lineage: Eukaryota; Metazoa; Chordata; Mammalia; Primates; Hominidae
Exons: 3
Source: RefSeq, a predicted model, not a curated record
CAUAGGAUGUCGGCAAUCUCAGAAACCUCUGGGAGUCUGCUUUUCAUGUAGCAAACAACCUAGUAAGAAAAACUAGCUUUGGAGCCAGCCCCGGCUGGAAAAAAUGAAGCUAAAUGAAACUCUCUCCACAAUAUUGGGCUAAAACCUUUUGAUGUUUCUUGCUGAGCCUACCUGGCUAAUGCCAUCAGUGAAAGACAAAUCAGAACAGAUGAAGAAUGUGACUUUCAGGGGAUGAAUGGAAGCGCCUCCUCUGGCUCAUGCUGGUGGGAGAAAAUGAACCAGCCCUGCUUUCUCUCCCUGGUUCAAUUCCCAGCAAAGGAAAAACAAUGUAAUUCAUGAUGAUGAUGACAAUGACAAUGACGACAACAACAAUAACCAACCUUUAACACAUCCUUAUAAUGUGCCAGACCCUGCGGAUCACUGUGAAAAGAACAUGAGAUGCCCUUUGCAGGGACAUGGAUGGAGCUGGAAGCCAUUAUCUUCAGCAAACUAACACAGGAACAGAAAACCAAAUACUGCAUGUUCUCACUUAUAAGUGGGAGCUGAACCAUGAGAACAUGGACACAGGGAGGGGAACAACGCACACUGGGGCCUGUGGAGGGCAGGCGGGGGGAGGGAGAGCAUCAGGAUAAAUAGCUAAUGCAUGCUGGGCUUAAUACCUAGGUGAUGGAUUGAUAGGUGCAGCAAACCACCAUGGCACACAUUUACCUAUGGAGCAAACCUGCACCUCCUGCACAUUUACCCCAGAACUUAAAAUAAAAUAAAAUUUAAAAAGGA